AAGGAUUCCACCCUAGAGCCUAAGGAGGGAGCGUGGCCUUGCAGGCCCCUUGAUUUUGGACUUCUAGCCUCCAGAACUGUGAGAGAAUAAGUUUCUGUUGUUUUAAGCCAUCCACGUUUGUGAUACCUUUUUAUGGCAGCCACAGGAA
RNAcentral lists this microRNA precursor (148 nucleotides) under Chlorocebus sabaeus (green monkey). RNAcentral's name for it is "miRNA (ENSCSAG00000027724.1)". The record is from RNAcentral. Lineage: Eukaryota; Metazoa; Chordata; Mammalia; Primates; Cercopithecidae.